CAGCAGUGGGGAAUAUUGCACAAUGGGCGCAAGCCUGAUGCAGCCAUGCCGCGUGUGUGAAGAAGGCCUUCGGGUUGUAAAGCACUUUCAGUCGUGAGGAAGGUGGUAGUGUUAAUAGCACUAUCAUUUGACGUUAGCGACAGAAGAAGCACCGGCUAACUCCGUGCCAGCAGCCGCGGUAAUACGGUAGGGGCAAGCGUUAUCCGGAAUCACGUGGGCGUAAAGGGUGCGUAGGUCGGUUUUUCAAGUCAGAAGUGAAAGGCUAUGGCUCAACCAUAGUAAGCUUUUGAAACUGUUAAACUUGAGUGCAGGAGAGGAAAGUGGAAUUCCUAGUGUAGAGGUGAAAUUCGUAGAUAUUAGGAGGAACACCAGUGGCGAAGGCGACUUUCUGGACUGUAACUGACGCUGAGGCACGAAAGCGUGGGGAGCGAACAGGAUUAGAUACCCUGGUAG
RNAcentral lists this ribosomal RNA (453 nucleotides) under uncultured bacterium. RNAcentral describes it as "bacterial SSU rRNA". It matches the Rfam family "Bacterial small subunit ribosomal RNA", at positions 349 to 793 of the family's 1533-position model. The record is from RNAcentral.